Molecule: unclassified non-coding RNA, 3969 nt
Filed under: Dimorphilus gyrociliatus
Lineage: Eukaryota; Metazoa; Annelida; Polychaeta; Dinophilidae
Description: c2H2-type domain-containing protein
Source: RNAcentral
AGAGAGAGAGAGAGAGAGAGAGAGGGGAGAGAGAGGGAGAGAGAGUAUGUGUGUCUGUCUGCGCAGUAUAAAAACAGAGUUUGCUUAUAAAAGACUGUGAUAAUCUUAAGAAUUGUGAAUUAGAGAGAAAGGUUUAAAAUGAAUGUUAUAAACUGUAAGUAGAAAAUAAUUUAGUGAAUAUAUAAUUGCAUGGAAUUUAACAAUACAGUCAUUUCUGAGCUCCACAUACUGUAUAUUUAAAUACGUAUAUAUAUAUAUAUGACGGUAACAGCAUGCGUCUGUCGCGCGCCGGGCCUUCGAUCAGUCAAACAGAGUCAGCGGUGCGACAGGUGCGUUGGAAGCUGUGAGUUUGUCACAGGUGUACACACGGGGAAAUAUUAUAGAGGAAACAUUUUUAUAAUAUCGCCAAAGCGAACAUAAUAGUGCAAGAGAGGUAGAGAGAAACAGAGAGAGAGGGAGAGAGUGUGUGAGAGCAAUUUAGUAUAUGGACUUCUACGACAACGGGGUAACGCCGCCGCUCUACAAGGUAAAUCUUAAUUAAUCGACGUCGCUACUCGAGUUAGAUUGAACAGCAAUUAAGUCGGAUUGCGACAGACGCUGGAAAUAUACAACAAUUUGGAGUUAAAUUAGCGGCCUAACUGUGUCGAGCGUCCGUCAUUUAUUCAUGAAGACGCCAAGAGACGCGACAAUACGGACAUAGCGUCGCAAUCACACGCGCAGUUAAGCCAGGCGUCUAUUUAAUGCGUCCCCCGUUACUGUUGCAGGCCAUUCGGUGUACGGCAAUCGGCUGCCAGUGCGACUGCUUCUCUCCGUCCAAAUCUGCUCGAAUCUGUAAUUCGUGCAAGCAUACCUGGGUGACCCACGGUAAGUGGACGCAGGUGAGACUCGUCGGCGACAUCAAACGCUUAUUUUCCUAACUGAAAUUCGAUUGACGACAAACUCGGGGGCGAUGCCUAUCGGGGGACCGAAUGCGGUGAGAUGUGCGUUUUAGUGCGUCGGCUCGAGACCUGACGUAAUUCACUCACAUUCUAACGUUUGUCAUGAAUUAUGCACCACUUUUGCCUACUGAUGUAAAGUGACGCCCCGAUUGCGUCGUUCUCCGAGGCUAAUUAUCAAUCGAGGUCGCUGCGGUCUCCACCUAAUUUCUAAUCAUUUCAUCCUUACUCCUCAUUUCUAUACAGCCGUCGACAAGCUACAAUUGUCUGGUAGCCUCGUAGAGCCUGUUCAGGCAUCGGUCGUCUUCGAUUUAGCUUCUCUAAUCCUCUACGGCGCCCACGCGACGCCUAUACGGUCCAAAAUUCUGCUUGAUCGUCUUUUCUCCGUGCUCUCGCACGAAGAAGUCAUCCGAAUCCUAGCCAGAUUCGGCUGGACUUAUGAAGAUUACGCCAGAGGCUACGUUCUACAGGAUCAAAGCGGUCGCGUGCUCGAUAAAUGGACGAUGGCUACAAGGGAGGAAGAGAAUUCAAUUUUGCAGCAGUUCCUUCGUUUCGGCGAAACAAAGUCGAUAGCUCAAGACAUCAUAAACCAAGAAGCGAAAGAUGCCCUUACACCCCAGGCAUCGCCGAAUAAGGCUAACGACGUAGACAUAAAACAGUUGAUAGAGCGAACGAGUUUAGCACAGCAUAACUUCUUCAGGCAAUACGACCCGCGAUUGUUCGCUGCCGCCCAUCCUGCUCAUUUUGCUGCCAUGGCGGCAGCAAGAUUUUUCCCGUUUGCGCAAAAUAGCGAACAAUUAAAAGAAGAGGUUAAAGUUUCUGACAAAGAGGUCGAUCAGCAUAGUACUUCUCCAACAUCCUCUAGUUCUCCACUAAAUAAGCUACAGACUAUGCAGCCUUUUGAUUUUAGACGAAAUUCUUCCCCCGAUACGGCAGCUAGCGAUAUGUCAAUGAGUCCUGCCACUUCUCCUAUAUCUUUCCCAAAGCCUGUUGUUAGGCUGGCAGAACCGAGAUACCCUCAAGUUCACGAUCAGCCCAGUGAAGAGGCUUUAGAUCUAUCAGGUAAAGGGUCAGAAGAUGGUAAUAAUAAUGGACGAAUUGAUUUAAAUGACAAGAGACAUGCAAGGAAAUCAGCAACUCCUAUAAAGAGACAAUGGAAUCCUACCCCUGCUUUUGGUUCAACUCUAAUUUCACCUUCUGGAAAGAAACGGGUACUAUGUACUGCUUGUAAUAAGACAUUUUGCGAUAAAGGAGCACUUAAGAUUCAUUAUUCUGCUGUUCAUUUAAAAGAAAUGCACAAAUGCACAGUUGAAGGUUGUAAUAUGAUGUUCAGUUCGAGAAGGUCUAGAAAUAGGCACUCAGCUAACCCAAAUCCAAAACUACAUUUACCCCAAAAGAAAAAAGAACUGCCUGAUGGGGCAAGAAUAGUAGACGAUGGAACAACGAAGACUUCUUUACCAUCAAGUUUAUUAACACCUCCUCCGACUCUCUCGUCUAUUAUGCCAUUAUCGGUUCGAACUGGUGAAGGAGUGACGCCUCCUUUAACCUAUUUAGAGGCUUCGGCGUUCGCGGCGCCUGCGGCAAAACUCGCUCGCCUAUCGACAAAUACCGAUGAAGAAGUAAAAGAGGUUGAGAAAGAAUCGAAAAAACCUGAAUCAAAACCAGAAAGGAGUUCUAAUAAGCGAAAAGGCGUGCCAACGAGAGUUCCCAGAGCAGAGGAGCUCGAGGCAAAGCUUGUUGCUUUAAUGGAAGAGGAGCAACGAAAGAAUAACCCAGAAUCAGAAGAAAUAGAAGAAGCAAAUUUCGAAGGUGUCUCUUCUGAUUCGGACGGCGAAACGGCCAAUUGGAAUUUGCAUGGAAAGUUGCCCCCAACGGACGAAAACGGCACAACGGAGGCCGACGACGAACAGCUGGAAAAUGCUCCAAAAUCGGAUCCGCAAGGGGAAGCGCUAUGCCAUGUUUGUAAUGACAGGUUCCGCGAUAAUCUUGUUCUGAAGGAACAUACAGAAAAGGUACACCCACGGGAGGUUUUUCACUGCACAGUUAGCGGUUGCGAUAAGAUAUUUUCUACGAGGAAGAGUCGGAACAGGCAUUCUCAGAAUGAUAACCUCCACCGGCACCUGGCCGCGGCCCUAUAGUUUGGACAAAUAAAAUUAGCGGGCGUAGCACUUGACUGAUUUUCUCUCAUCUUAUAAAUCCACGUUGGCCCGCUCGCUGACAAGCAUUGGCAGUGACGCGCGCGACGCCUCGCUAAUGCGUCGCGCGAUGAGCGGCGUCUCUAAAUAAAGUACGGAGAAGAUAACACACGUGGUCUCGCCCUCUCCAAGGCGUCAUUGAUAACAGACGGCUUCGAGGAAUGCGUCUUGUCAAAACAUGCCACACGCGUCUGUUCCACACUUUCUUUCUUCCCUUUUUUCUCUUUACACGGUUCCGUCUUCAAUUAACUACUGUAUAUACGCCAUAUACACGUUUAAAUAUGUCAAUAAAAUUUAAAUAUAUAUAUAUAAAUAUAUAUGUAUGUAUAUAACGCAUAUACAGCAUAUACCGUAUAUACUUUGGUACUUACGGUAUAUACUGUAUUUAUAUAUAUAUAUACAUAUGUAUUUAUAUAUAAUUAUAUGAAUUUUAAAAUAUACCAAGUAUAUCAAUGUAUAAUAUAUAAGUUAAAUGUUAUAUAUAAUAUGAAAAUCAUAUAAAUACGUAUUUAUUAAUUUAUUUAUUUAUAAAUGUGUGUUCUGCAAUUAUGUUUUUUGUCCCUUUUAUCUUUUCAUUUCUUUAUGAUUUUUUUUACGAAAAUCUUCCGUCUUCCGCACACGUGUAAUUCGUUGAACAGCAAUAAGAAAGCGUGUGUUUGUAUAUAGCUCUAGUUGCGUGUAACGUGAAUGACGUCAUUUGACUGGAGCUAUUUUAGGUCUAGUCGCAUGGUUUGCUGUGUAUACAUUUUUCUCUUCCUAUCAAAAAUUUCUUGCCAUGUGUUCUUUUUGCAGUGCACGACGUAGUAAUUUAUUGGAAUACAAGAAAUCAUAGACAAAAA